This 482-nucleotide ribosomal RNA is filed under the name uncultured bacterium. RNAcentral's name for it is "partial 16S ribosomal RNA". It matches the Rfam family "Bacterial small subunit ribosomal RNA", at positions 28 to 507 of the family's 1533-position model. The record is from RNAcentral.
GACGAACGCUGGCGGCGUGCUUAACACAUGCAAGUCGAACGAUGAAGAAGAGAAACGCGAACUUCGGUUCAAAUUUCACUUCGGAUUAGUGGCAGACGGGUGAGUAACGCGUGAGCAACCUACCUCUUACAAAGGGAUAGCCUCGGGAAACCGUGAUUAAUACCAUAUGACACAUUCAUAAGGCAUCUUAAGAAUGUUAAAGCUACGGCGGUAAGAGAUGGGCUCGCAUCCCAUUAGCUAGUUGGUGAGGUAACGGCCCACCAAGGCGACGAUGGGUAACCGGCCUGAGAGGGUGAACGGUCACAUUGGAACUGAGACACGGUCCAAACUCCUACGGGAGGCAGCAGUGGGGAAUAUUGCACAAUGGAGGGAACUCUGAUGCAGCGACGCCGCGUGAGCGAUGAAGGAAUUCGUUUCGUAAAGCUCUGUUCUAUGGGAAGAAAAGGACUGUACCAUAGGAGAAAGCCCCGGCUAAAUACGUG